This 113-nucleotide ribosomal RNA is filed under the name Periophthalmus magnuspinnatus. The record is from RNAcentral. Lineage: Eukaryota; Metazoa; Chordata; Actinopteri; Gobiiformes; Gobiidae.
UGUGGUGUACCAGCUUGUCAAACCCAAUCUCAUCACAUUUGAGAAGCUGAGCAGGGCUGGGUCUGGUUAGUACUUGUCUCGGAGACUGCUGGGAAUGCCAGGGGCCACCAUGG